Molecule: ribosomal RNA, 767 nt
Filed under: unidentified microorganism
Description: bacterial SSU rRNA
Rfam family: Bacterial small subunit ribosomal RNA
Source: RNAcentral
GCUACACAUGCAGUCGAACGAUGAUGCCCAGCUUGCUGGGCGGAUUAGUGGCGAACGGGUGAGUAAUACGUGAGUAACCUGCCCUUGACUCUGGGAUAAGCCUGGGAAACUGGGUCUAAUACUGGAUACUACCUCUUACCGCAUGGUGGGUGGUGGAAAGGGUUUUACUGGUUUUGGAUGGGCUCACGGCCUAUCAGCUUGUUGGUGGGGUAAUGGCUCACCAAGGCGACGACGGGUAGCCGGCCUGAGAGGGUGACCGGCCACACUGGGACUGAGACACGGCCCAGACUCCUACGGGAGGCAGCAGUGGGGAAUAUUGCACAAUGGGCGGAAGCCUGAUGCAGCGACGCCGCGUGAGGGAUGACGGCCUUCGGGUUGUAAACCUCUUUCAGUAGGGAAGAAGCGAGAGUGACGGUACCUGCAGAAGAAGCGCCGGCUAACUACGUGCCAGCAGCCGCGGUAAUACGUAGGGCGCAAGCGUUGUCCGGAAUUAUUGGGCGUAAAGAGCUCGUAGGCGGUUUGUCGCGUCUGCUGUGAAAGCCCGGGGCUCAACCCCGGGUCUGCAGUGGGUACGGGCAGACUAGAGUGCAGUAGGGGAGACUGGAAUUCCUGGUGUAGCGGUGAAAUGCGCAGAUAUCAGGAGGAACACCGAUGGCGAAGGCAGGUCUCUGGGCUGUUACUGACGCUGAGGAGCGAAAGCAUGGGGAGCGAACAGGAUUAGAUACCCUGGUAGUCCAUGCCGUAAACGUUGGGCACUAGGUGUGGGG